AGGGGCCUCCUGGUCCCCCGGGCCUCCCAGGGCAGCCUGGACUCAUAGGCCAGAAGGGUGACUGUGGUGAUCUUGGUCUUCCAGGAGCAGCUGGGGAAAAGGGUGCCCAGGGUACACCAGGACUGCCAGGUCAGCCAGGGGAGGGUGGGCUUGCAGGGCUUCCAGGUCCCAUGGGACCUGUUGGGCCCCCAGGACCCCCUGGGCCACCAGGACCGCCAUAUCGUGUUGGCUAUGUGAGUACAGGUUAAACACAG
Molecule: long non-coding RNA, 254 nt
Filed under: Myripristis murdjan (pinecone soldierfish)
Lineage: Eukaryota; Metazoa; Chordata; Actinopteri; Holocentriformes; Holocentridae
Description: lncRNA (ENSMMDG00005000808.1)
Source: RNAcentral